This 73-nucleotide transfer RNA is filed under the name Ixodes scapularis (black-legged tick). Its description in RNAcentral is "tRNA-Ser for anticodon GGA". It matches the Rfam family "tRNA". Rfam says of the family: Transfer RNA (tRNA) molecules are approximately 80 nucleotides in length. Their secondary structure includes four short double-helical elements and three loops (D, anti-codon, and T loops). Lineage: Eukaryota; Metazoa; Arthropoda; Arachnida; Ixodida; Ixodidae. The record is from RNAcentral.
UCCUGGCUAGCUUAGUUGGCAGAGCGCUCCACUGGAAAUGGAGAGGUCAUGGGUUCGAAACUCGGACUAGGCG